UUCCACGACAUUCUAAUUUAUUGAGAUCCAAGUUACCCCCUUUUUAAACUCUUGCCAUCUGGCCGGCGCUUCAGAGCCCCAAAUAACAGGACAGUCAGGCACGAGAAUAGUUUCUACCCCCAGGUAAUCUACCUCAUGAACAGUUAAAUGUUCCCCACUUAUGCAAUAAAAAUGUGCAAUAACCUUAUAUUUAUUUGUUAUCACCUCCACCCUAGUACAUCCCUGCAUCUCACUCUAUUCUAUUCCAUUAUCGUCUAUAGCACAACUGUUCAUAUAAUUUAUUUAUUUUUUGGAUUUAUUUUGCAAUAUUUGUCUUUUUUUAUGUCUGUGUGUUGUUGUCUCUGUGUCCUGGAAGCUUAUGACACUAAAACAAAUUCCUUGCAAGAAUACUUGGCAAUAAAGCUCUUUCUGAUUCUGUUGGAUCAAACAUGAGCUCAAUGGCACAACAAUAAUGUGCAGAUUACUUUUUAUAUUAAUGAGUCAACGGUUAAUAAAAUAUUUCAUUUAUUUCAAAUGACAAAGUAAAAGCACAGACAUGGUAACAUGAUUUAUGGCUUGAACAAACAUUAAAGGAAAAAACCUUAUAAAUACAACAUUCUGCUGAGUUUUUAAAGUCCUUGAGAAAGUUGUACUGCUUUGCUCCAGCCUGUAGAUUGUGUCUUUGAUCCAAGGUUGAUCCUGCUGGGAGCUGAAGAGGUGCUGUUAUGGACUCCUCAAUCUGUCUGUUUCAGACUUUGAUGACCAUGGCACUAAAAAGUGAAAGAGCUGUUAUACUGGUUUCAGCGUCAAACGAAAGCCAUUUAUUCUACUCUAAGUACAAUAACGACAUUAUGAAAGACACAUGUCUCACCAGGUCGGUUGCGUGAUGUUUGCGUCAUGACAGGUCUAGCUUCUUCUGUGUUUCUGCGAGCUUGUCCUGUAACCUCUUUUUCCGCCAGUCCAAGAACCUUCUUCGCAUCCUGUUUGCCUGCCAGCCGGCGAUAAAACCAGCUGCAAACGAAACGACUAUAGCGACCUGUAACGUCCUCUCCGACACAUCGGCCAUGUUCACCUCCGUUCGGCCACAGCUCGCUGUUGGAGGAAGCACGCGUGUGAAUAGAAGUCGCAUCACGUGACUUGGGC
Long non-coding RNA from Cyprinus carpio carpio, 1122 nucleotides. The record is from Ensembl. Lineage: Eukaryota; Metazoa; Chordata; Actinopteri; Cypriniformes; Cyprinidae.